This 497-nucleotide ribosomal RNA is filed under the name uncultured bacterium. RNAcentral describes it as "partial 16S ribosomal RNA". It matches the Rfam family "Bacterial small subunit ribosomal RNA", at positions 28 to 507 of the family's 1533-position model. The record is from RNAcentral.
GAUGAACGCUGGCGGCGUGCCUAAUACAUGCAAGUCGAGCGAACAGAUGAGGAGCUUGCUCCUCUGACGUUAGCGGCGGACGGGUGAGUAACACGUGGAUAACCUACCUAUAAGACUGGGAUAACUUCGGGAAACCGGAGCUAAUACCGGAUAAUAUAUUGAACCGCAUGGUUCAAUAGUGAAAGACGGUUUUGCUGUCACUUAUAGAUGGAUCCGCGCCGCAUUAGCUAGUUGGUAAGGUAACGGCUUACCAAGGCAACGAUGCGUAGCCGACCUGAGAGGGUGAUCGGCCACACUGGAACUGAGACACGGUCCAGACUCCUACGGGAGGCCGCAGUAGGGAAUCUUCCGCAAUGGGCGAAAGCUUGACGGAGCAACGCCGCGUGAGUGAUGAAGGUCUUCGGAUCGUAAAACUCUGUUAUUAGGGAAGAACAAAUGUGUAAGUAACUAUGCACGUCUUGACGGUACCUAAUCAGAAAGCCACGGCUAACUACGUG